This 6699-nucleotide transfer RNA is filed under the name Daphnia magna. RNAcentral describes it as "uncharacterized LOC123467866, transcript variant X2". The stretch from base 287 to 359 matches the Rfam family "tRNA". Lineage: Eukaryota; Metazoa; Arthropoda; Branchiopoda; Diplostraca; Daphniidae. The record is from RNAcentral.
GCGCGGUCUUUUGUACAACACUUCUCCCUGCUGCAAUGACUGAAGCCAACCCUUCUAUUUCUUGCAAUUACCCAGGUUUGGCAAAUGUAGUACAAUCAAAGUCUUGAGCUCUAUACGGUCUACCCAUGCUACCCGGGAUUUUAGCUAUAGCAGACCUACCCAGGUUGCUAAAUCAGUUCAGUGCUAUUAUUAUGGAGAUCCGCAUAGUGGAACAAACCUGCAAAGUGGGAAGAUUCUCCCCUCACUCUGCCUGUGGCACUUUGCGAAACGCUGUGCAAUAAUCAAAGGAUGUGUGGCCCAAUGGAUAAGGCGCCUGCCUACGGAGCAGGAGAUUCCAGGUUCGAUCCCUGGCACGUUCAGUAAAUGGAUGCAAGGAAGCUCUGUUUUCAGACGUCGUAGCUGCAGUCACGUCUCUUGCCAUCGGUGUCUUUUCUUUGAAUCCAUUGAUUGAUCAAUUGAUAAUGGCAACACAGCAACGUAUCUCAAGGUGGCAGAAUCGCAAAGUUGGAAUUGUUGCAAAGAGGCAAUGCGUUGAGGUUACACUCAAAGGUAUCCCCGGGAUCUCUUAAGCGAUGACUAAGCGCGGUCUUUUGUACAACACUUCUCCCUGCUGCAAUGACUGAAGCCAACCCUUCUAUUUCUUGCAAUUACCCAGGUUUGGCAAAUGUAGUACAAUCAAAGUCUUGAGCUCUAUACGGUCUACCCAUGCUACCCGGGAUUUUAGCUAUAGCAGACCUACCCAGGUUGCUAAAUCAGUUCAGUGCUAUUAUUAUGGAGAUCCGCAUAGUGGAACAAACCUGCAAAGUGGGAAGAUUCUCCCCUCACUCUGCCUGUGGCACUUUGCGAAACGCUGUGCAAUAAUCAAAGGAUGUGUGGCCCAAUGGAUAAGGCGCCUGCCUACGGAGCAGGAGAUUCCAGGUUCGAUCCCUGGCACGUUCAGUAAAUGGAUGCAAGGAAGCUCUGUUUUCAGACGUCGUAGCUGCAGUCACGUCUCUUGCCAUCGGUGUCUUUUCUUUGAAUCCAUUGAUUGAUCAAUUGAUAAUGGCAACACAGCAACGUAUCUCAAGGUGGCAGAAUCGCAAAGUUGGAAUUGUUGCAAAGAGGCAAUGCGUUGAGGUUACACUCAAAGGUAUCCCCGGGAUCUCUUAAGCGAUGACUAAGCGCGGUCUUUUGUACAACACUUCUCCCUGCUGCAAUGACUGAAGCCAACCCUUCUAUUUCUUGCAAUUACCCAGGUUUGGCAAAUGUAGUACAAUCAAAGUCUUGAGCUCUAUACGGUCUACCCAUGCUACCCGGGAUUUUAGCUAUAGCAGACCUACCCAGGUUGCUAAAUCAGUUCAGUGCUAUUAUUAUGGAGAUCCGCAUAGUGGAACAAACCUGCAAAGUGGGAAGAUUCUCCCCUCACUCUGCCUGUGGCACUUUGCGAAACGCUGUGCAAUAAUCAAAGGAUGUGUGGCCCAAUGGAUAAGGCGCCUGCCUACGGAGCAGGAGAUUCCAGGUUCGAUCCCUGGCACGUUCAGUAAAUGGAUGCAAGGAAGCUCUGUUUUCAGACGUCGUAGCUGCAGUCACGUCUCUUGCCAUCGGUGUCUUUUCUUUGAAUCCAUUGAUUGAUCAAUUGAUAAUGGCAACACAGCAACGUAUCUCAAGGUGGCAGAAUCGCAAAGUUGGAAUUGUUGCAAAGAGGCAAUGCGUUGAGGUUACACUCAAAGGUUUGGCAAAUGUAGUACAAUCAAAGUCUUGAGCUCUAUACGGUCUACCCAUGCUACCCGGGAUUUUAGCUAUAGCAGACCUACCCAGGUUGCUAAAUCAGUUCAGUGCUAUUAUUAUGGAGAUCCGCAUAGUGGAACAAACCUGCAAAGUGGGAAGAUUCUCCCCUCACUCUGCCUGUGGCACUUUGCGAAACGCUGUGCAAUAAUCAAAGGAUGUGUGGCCCAAUGGAUAAGGCGCCUGCCUACGGAGCAGGAGAUUCCAGGUUCGAUCCCUGGCACGUUCAGUAAAUGGAUGCAAGGAAGCUCUGUUUUCAGACGUCGUAGCUGCAGUCACGUCUCUUGCCAUCGGUGUCUUUUCUUUGAAUCCAUUGAUUGAUCAAUUGAUAAUGGCAACACAGCAACGUAUCUCAAGGUGGCAGAAUCGCAAAGUUGGAAUUGUUGCAAAGAGGCAAUGCGUUGAGGUUACACUCAAAGGUAUCCCCGGGAUCUCUUAAGCGAUGACUAAGCGCGGUCUUUUGUACAACACUUCUCCCUGCUGCAAUGACUGAAGCCAACCCUUCUAUUUCUUGCAAUUACCCAGGUUUGGCAAAUGUAGUACAAUCAAAGUCUUGAGCUCUAUACGGUCUACCCAUGCUACCCGGGAUUUUAGCUAUAGCAGACCUACCCAGGUUGCUAAAUCAGUUCAGUGCUAUUAUUAUGGAGAUCCGCAUAGUGGAACAAACCUGCAAAGUGGGAAGAUUCUCCCCUCACUCUGCCUGUGGCACUUUGCGAAACGCUGUGCAAUAAUCAAAGGAUGUGUGGCCCAAUGGAUAAGGCGCCUGCCUACGGAGCAGGAGAUUCCAGGUUCGAUCCCUGGCACGUUCAGUAAAUGGAUGCAAGGAAGCUCUGUUUUCAGACGUCGUAGCUGCAGUCACGUCUCUUGCCAUCGGUGUCUUUUCUUUGAAUCCAUUGAUUGAUCAAUUGAUAAUGGCAACACAGCAACGUAUCUCAAGGUGGCAGAAUCGCAAAGUUGGAAUUGUUGCAAAGAGGCAAUGCGUUGAGGUUACACUCAAAGGUAUCCCCGGGAUCUCUUAAGCGAUGACUAAGCGCGGUCUUUUGUACAACACUUCUCCCUGCUGCAAUGACUGAAGCCAACCCUUCUAUUUCUUGCAAUUACCCAGGUUUGGCAAAUGUAGUACAAUCAAAGUCUUGAGCUCUAUACGGUCUACCCAUGCUACCCGGGAUUUUAGCUAUAGCAGACCUACCCAGGUUGCUAAAUCAGUUCAGUGCUAUUAUUAUGGAGAUCCGCAUAGUGGAACAAACCUGCAAAGUGGGAAGAUUCUCCCCUCACUCUGCCUGUGGCACUUUGCGAAACGCUGUGCAAUAAUCAAAGGAUGUGUGGCCCAAUGGAUAAGGCGCCUGCCUACGGAGCAGGAGAUUCCAGGUUCGAUCCCUGGCACGUUCAGUAAAUGGAUGCAAGGAAGCUCUGUUUUCAGACGUCGUAGCUGCAGUCACGUCUCUUGCCAUCGGUGUCUUUUCUUUGAAUCCAUUGAUUGAUCAAUUGAUAAUGGCAACACAGCAACGUAUCUCAAGGUGGCAGAAUCGCAAAGUUGGAAUUGUUGCAAAGAGGCAAUGCGUUGAGGUUACACUCAAAGGUAUCCCCGGGAUCUCUUAAGCGAUGACUAAGCGCGGUCUUUUGUACAACACUUCUCCCUGCUGCAAUGACUGAAGCCAACCCUUCUAUUUCUUGCAAUUACCCAGGUUUGGCAAAUGUAGUACAAUCAAAGUCUUGAGCUCUAUACGGUCUACCCAUGCUACCCGGGAUUUUAGCUAUAGCAGACCUACCCAGGUUGCUAAAUCAGUUCAGUGCUAUUAUUAUGGAGAUCCGCAUAGUGGAACAAACCUGCAAAGUGGGAAGAUUCUCCCCUCACUCUGCCUGUGGCACUUUGCGAAACGCUGUGCAAUAAUCAAAGGAUGUGUGGCCCAAUGGAUAAGGCGCCUGCCUACGGAGCAGGAGAUUCCAGGUUCGAUCCCUGGCACGUUCAGUAAAUGGAUGCAAGGAAGCUCUGUUUUCAGACGUCGUAGCUGCAGUCACGUCUCUUGCCAUCGGUGUCUUUUCUUUGAAUCCAUUGAUUGAUCAAUUGAUAAUGGCAACACAGCAACGUAUCUCAAGGUGGCAGAAUCGCAAAGUUGGAAUUGUUGCAAAGAGGCAAUGCGUUGAGGUUACACUCAAAGGUAUCCCCGGGAUCUCUUAAGCGAUGACUAAGCGCGGUCUUUUGUACAACACUUCUCCCUGCUGCAAUGACUGAAGCCAACCCUUCUAUUUCUUGCAAUUACCCAGGUUUGGCAAAUGUAGUACAAUCAAAGUCUUGAGCUCUAUACGGUCUACCCAUGCUACCCGGGAUUUUAGCUAUAGCAGACCUACCCAGGUUGCUAAAUCAGUUCAGUGCUAUUAUUAUGGAGAUCCGCAUAGUGGAACAAACCUGCAAAGUGGGAAGAUUCUCCCCUCACUCUGCCUGUGGCACUUUGCGAAACGCUGUGCAAUAAUCAAAGGAUGUGUGGCCCAAUGGAUAAGGCGCCUGCCUACGGAGCAGGAGAUUCCAGGUUCGAUCCCUGGCACGUUCAGUAAAUGGAUGCAAGGAAGCUCUGUUUUCAGACGUCGUAGCUGCAGUCACGUCUCUUGCCAUCGGUGUCUUUUCUUUGAAUCCAUUGAUUGAUCAAUUGAUAAUGGCAACACAGCAACGUAUCUCAAGGUGGCAGAAUCGCAAAGUUGGAAUUGUUGCAAAGAGGCAAUGCGUUGAGGUUACACUCAAAGGUAUCCCCGGGAUCUCUUAAGCGAUGACUAAGCGCGGUCUUUUGUACAACACUUCUCCCUGCUGCAAUGACUGAAGCCAACCCUUCUAUUUCUUGCAAUUACCCAGGUUUGGCAAAUGUAGUACAAUCAAAGUCUUGAGCUCUAUACGGUCUACCCAUGCUACCCGGGAUUUUAGCUAUAGCAGACCUACCCAGGUUGCUAAAUCAGUUCAGUGCUAUUAUUAUGGAGAUCCGCAUAGUGGAACAAACCUGCAAAGUGGGAAGAUUCUCCCCUCACUCUGCCUGUGGCACUUUGCGAAACGCUGUGCAAUAAUCAAAGGAUGUGUGGCCCAAUGGAUAAGGCGCCUGCCUACGGAGCAGGAGAUUCCAGGUUCGAUCCCUGGCACGUUCAGUAAAUGGAUGCAAGGAAGCUCUGUUUUCAGACGUCGUAGCUGCAGUCACGUCUCUUGCCAUCGGUGUCUUUUCUUUGAAUCCAUUGAUUGAUCAAUUGAUAAUGGCAACACAGCAACGUAUCUCAAGGUGGCAGAAUCGCAAAGUUGGAAUUGUUGCAAAGAGGCAAUGCGUUGAGGUUACACUCAAAGGUAUCCCCGGGAUCUCUUAAGCGAUGACUAAGCGCGGUCUUUUGUACAACACUUCUCCCUGCUGCAAUGACUGAAGCCAACCCUUCUAUUUCUUGCAAUUACCCAGGUUUGGCAAAUGUAGUACAAUCAAAGUCUUGAGCUCUAUACGGUCUACCCAUGCUACCCGGGAUUUUAGCUAUAGCAGACCUACCCAGGUUGCUAAAUCAGUUCAGUGCUAUUAUUAUGGAGAUCCGCAUAGUGGAACAAACCUGCAAAGUGGGAAGAUUCUCCCCUCACUCUGCCUGUGGCACUUUGCGAAACGCUGUGCAAUAAUCAAAGGAUGUGUGGCCCAAUGGAUAAGGCGCCUGCCUACGGAGCAGGAGAUUCCAGGUUCGAUCCCUGGCACGUUCAGUAAAUGGAUGCAAGGAAGCUCUGUUUUCAGACGUCGUAGCUGCAGUCACGUCUCUUGCCAUCGGUGUCUUUUCUUUGAAUCCAUUGAUUGAUCAAUUGAUAAUGGCAACACAGCAACGUAUCUCAAGGUGGCAGAAUCGCAAAGUUGGAAUUGUUGCAAAGAGGCAAUGCGUUGAGGUUACACUCAAAGGUAUCCCCGGGAUCUCUUAAGCGAUGACUAAGCGCGGUCUUUUGUACAACACUUCUCCCUGCUGCAAUGACUGAAGCCAACCCUUCUAUUUCUUGCAAUUACCCAGGUUUGGCAAAUGUAGUACAAUCAAAGUCUUGAGCUCUAUACGGUCUACCCAUGCUACCCGGGAUUUUAGCUAUAGCAGACCUACCCAGGUUGCUAAAUCAGUUCAGUGCUAUUAUUAUGGAGAUCCGCAUAGUGGAACAAACCUGCAAAGUGGGAAGAUUCUCCCCUCACUCUGCCUGUGGCACUUUGCGAAACGCUGUGCAAUAAUCAAAGGAUGUGUGGCCCAAUGGAUAAGGCGCCUGCCUACGGAGCAGGAGAUUCCAGGUUCGAUCCCUGGCACGUUCAGUAAAUGGAUGCAAGGAAGCUCUGUUUUCAGACGUCGUAGCUGCAGUCACGUCUCUUGCCAUCGGUGUCUUUUCUUUGAAUCCAUUGAUUGAUCAAUUGAUAAUGGCAACACAGCAACGUAUCUCAAGGUGGCAGAAUCGCAAAGUUGGAAUUGUUGCAAAGAGGCAAUGCGUUGAGGUUACACUCAAAGGUAUCCCCGGGAUCUCUUAAGCGAUGACUAAGCGCGGUCUUUUGUACAACACUUCUCCCUGCUGCAAUGACUGAAGCCAACCCUUCUAUUUCUUGCAAUUACCCAGGUUUGGCAAAUGUAGUACAAUCAAAGUCUUGAGCUCUAUACGGUCUACCCAUGCUACCCGGGAUUUUAGCUAUAGCAGACCUACCCAGGUUGCUAAAUCAGUUCAGUGCUAUUAUUAUGGAGAUCCGCAUAGUGGAACAAACCUGCAAAGUGGGAAGAUUCUCCCCUCACUCUGCCUGUGGCACUUUGCGAAACGCUGUGCAAUAAUCAAAGGAUGUGUGGCCCAAUGGAUAAGGCGCCUGCCUACGGAGCAGGAGAUUCCAGGUUCGAUCCCUGGCACGUUCAGUAAAUGGAUGCAAGGAAGCUCUGUUUUCAGACGUCGUAGCUGCAGUCACGUCUCUUGCCAUCGGU